UACAGAGGUCUCAAGCGUUGUUCGGAUUCAUUGGGCGUAAAGGGUGCGUAGGCGGCGCGGUAAGUCGGGGGUGAAAUCCUGGGGCUCAACCUCAGAAUUGCCUCCGAUACUGGCAGUCUCGAGUGCGGGAGAGGUGAGUGGAAUUCCCAGCGUAGAGGUGAAAUUCGUAGAUAUUGGGAAGAACACCAGUGGCGAAGGCGGCUCACUGGCCCGUAACUGACGCUGAGGUGCGAAAGCGUGGGGAGCAAACAGG
RNAcentral lists this ribosomal RNA (253 nucleotides) under uncultured bacterium. RNAcentral describes it as "partial 16S ribosomal RNA". It matches the Rfam family "Bacterial small subunit ribosomal RNA", at positions 524 to 776 of the family's 1533-position model. The record is from RNAcentral.